AGGGUACGUAGACAUUUGACGCAAGUUUUCCCCCUUUUUAUAUCUAAUAUCAUACGUAUGGUAAUAUAACUCAUUAACAAUAUAAAGUAGAGGACUAGAGUCUUUUGAUUUGAGGUCCUUGGUUUAUAACCUUGAAAUUGAGCUCAAGGUCAUAUGCUAAUUAAACGUUCUAGAUUUUGACCUUUGCUUUUACCUCAUAUGUACACAUGAUAAAGCCAUGGGACUUUUUGCAUUAAGUUGUAAGCAAUGUGACCUUAAAAAAACACAACCGGAAGUGACCUUUUGUAAACCGGAAGUAGCUUUUUUUUGUACUAAAUCAAUGUAAAAGUAUAUAGAACCAUAUAUUUUUGGAAUCAGUGUCAAGUAAACUAUCAAACAAUACCGGAAGUAAACUUUUUAAA
RNAcentral lists this long non-coding RNA (401 nucleotides) under Mytilus galloprovincialis (Mediterranean mussel). The record is from RNAcentral. Lineage: Eukaryota; Metazoa; Mollusca; Bivalvia; Mytilida; Mytilidae.